UACGUAGGACCCAAGCGUUAUCCGGAAUUACUGGGCGUAAAGAGUUGCGUAGGUGGCAGAGUAAGUUGGUAGUGAAAUCGUGUGGCUCAACCAUACACCCAUUACUAAAACUGCUCAGCUUGAGUAUGGGAGAGGUACCUGGAAUUUCUAGUGUAGGAGUGAAAUCCGUAGAUAUUAGAAGGAACACCGAUGGCGUAGGCAGGGUACUGGCCCAUUACUGACACUAAGGCACGAAAGCGUGGGGAGCGAACGGG
This 254-nucleotide ribosomal RNA is filed under the name uncultured bacterium. RNAcentral describes it as "partial 16S ribosomal RNA". It matches the Rfam family "Bacterial small subunit ribosomal RNA", at positions 524 to 776 of the family's 1533-position model. The record is from RNAcentral.